UUUAUUUUUGAAAAGGAGAACUUAAAUUAAUUCGAUUGGAAUGAAACAGUAGUCCUUAACUAGGUUGAGAAAUCACUAGUCAAUCAGUCGGACUUAAAUUUACGCACUGCACUGUAAAGUUACCGAUAAUGCAUAUUGGAGUACAUUUAUUUACUUACAUAAUAGCGAAUGUAGAUACAAAAAUUUAAUUAAUUUUGGGUAGUUGUCCACCAAUUCCCUAUCGAAUAAUUCACACAUCAUCUUUCUCAAAAAAAAAAAAAAGUUCACUCAUCACACGUGUUGUUACCUUCCUCGCAUCAGAAACUAGUACUGUACUACAUUUCCGUGGUGGGUUGCAAGAAAAAUUCAAACUCUCAACCAG
Molecule: long non-coding RNA, 361 nt
Filed under: Salvia miltiorrhiza (redroot sage)
Lineage: Eukaryota; Viridiplantae; Streptophyta; Magnoliopsida; Lamiales; Lamiaceae
Description: long non-coding RNA (SMIL_LNC009737)
Source: RNAcentral